UAGAACGCUAGCGGCAGGCUUAACACAUGCAAGUCGAGGGGCAGCACGGGUAGCAAUACCUGGUGGCGACCGGCGCAAGGGUGCGUAACGCGUGAGCAACAUGCCCUAUACAGGGGGAUAAUCCAGGGAAACUUUGGUCUAAUAUCCCAUAGCAUUUAGAGGAGGCAUCUUCACUAAAUUAAAGCUUCGGUGGUAUAGGAUUGGCUCGCGUGACAUUAGCUAGAUGGUGAGGUAACGGCCCACCAUGGCUAUGAUGUCUAGGGGUUCUGAGAGGAAGACCCCCCACACUGGGACUGAGACACGGCCCAGACUCCUACGGGAGGCAGCAGUGAGGAAUAUUGGACAAUGGAUGGAAAUCUGAUCCAGCCAUGCCGCGUGCAGGAAGACGGCCCUAUGGGUUGUAAACUGCUUUUAUAUGGGAGCAAUAAGGUUUACGAGUAGACCGAUGAGAGUACCAUAUGAAUAAGCAUCGGCUAACUCCGUG
This 484-nucleotide ribosomal RNA is filed under the name uncultured bacterium. RNAcentral's name for it is "bacterial SSU rRNA". It matches the Rfam family "Bacterial small subunit ribosomal RNA", at positions 31 to 507 of the family's 1533-position model. The record is from RNAcentral.